GGAGAGAUGGCCGAGAGGUUGAAGGCGCUCGCCUCGAAAGCGAGUGGGCGGUAACCCGUCUCGUGAGUUCGAAUCUCACUCUCUCCGCCA
This 90-nucleotide transfer RNA is filed under the name Thermoanaerobacterales bacterium. Its description in RNAcentral is "tRNA-Ser". It matches the Rfam family "tRNA". Rfam says of the family: Transfer RNA (tRNA) molecules are approximately 80 nucleotides in length. Their secondary structure includes four short double-helical elements and three loops (D, anti-codon, and T loops). Further hydrogen bonds mediate the characteristic L-shaped molecular structure. tRNAs have two regions of fundamental functional importance: the anti-codon, which is responsible for specific mRNA codon recognition, and the 3' end, to which the tRNAs corresponding amino acid is attached (by aminoacyl-tRNA synthetases). tRNAs cope with the degeneracy of the genetic code in two manners: having more than one tRNA (with a specific anti-codon) for a particular amino acid; and 'wobble' base-pairing, i.e. permitting non-standard base-pairing at the 3rd anti-codon position. Lineage: Bacteria; Bacillati; Bacillota; Clostridia; Thermoanaerobacterales. RNAcentral also lists the same sequence under 1 other name. The record is from RNAcentral.